CGAGAAAGCCCGCAAGGGUGAGUAAAGCGGCGCACGGGUGCGUAACACGUGGAUAAUCUGCCCUAGAGUCUGGAAUAACUCGCCGAAAGGCGUGCUAAUGCCGGAUGAGACCACGGGAGCCUCGGCUCCUGCGGGAAAAGGUGGCCUCUGUAUACAAGCUAUCGCUCUAGGAUGAGCCCGCGGCCCAUCAGCUCGUUGGCGGGGUAAUGGCCCACCAAGGCUACGACGGGUAGCUGGUCUGAGAGGACGAUCAGCCACACUGGAACUGAGACACGGUCCAGACUCCUACGGGAGGCAGCAGUGGGGAAUCUUGCGCAAUGGGCGAAAGCCUGACGCAGCAACGCCGCGUGUGUGAUGAAGGUCUUCAGAUCGUAAAGCACUGUCGCGAGGGACG
RNAcentral lists this ribosomal RNA (394 nucleotides) under uncultured Anaeromyxobacter sp. Its description in RNAcentral is "bacterial SSU rRNA". It matches the Rfam family "Bacterial small subunit ribosomal RNA", at positions 67 to 447 of the family's 1533-position model. Lineage: Bacteria; Pseudomonadati; Myxococcota; Myxococcia; Myxococcales; Anaeromyxobacteraceae. The record is from RNAcentral.